RNAcentral lists this long non-coding RNA (302 nucleotides) under Homo sapiens (human). Its description in RNAcentral is "lncAB350.1". Lineage: Eukaryota; Metazoa; Chordata; Mammalia; Primates; Hominidae. The record is from RNAcentral.
CCCCAUCCCCACCUCAGUUUUAGGUAGGGCUUUUAAUUUAACCCAAAGACAUCUCUCAACUUGGAGAGUAAUUCAGUCCUCAACAGCGCCUCAAAUCUGCUAUGGCUUUGCAGCGCAGCAGCAAGAAUGUUUAAUAUAUAAUAGAUAAAAAUUUCAUCCAAAAAAUUAAAAUAAAAUAUUCUUGCAAACCCCCCCCCCAACACCAAUUCCUAUUCUAAUGUUAACCUACCACUUGUGCUGUUAAUACUUGACCAUGUACUUAAUUGGAAACCUAUAUCCAAAAGACUGAAACUGAAUCUUCA